AAGUGAGAGCCAAGGCAGGAAUAGUCUGACUGUUACAAGUCCCAAUCUCUGUCCCGUACCAUUUACAACUUUCAAUGGGGUAAGACAUUUUGGUGUUCCAGACCAGCAACAGGCCCCAAGGCCCAAGACACUUUUUGGGGUAGAACCAUGUGCACAACCAUGAUGGUCCUGACCGCCAUUGCUGUCAUCCUGCGGCAGAGGUUCUCCAAUAAAAUCAAACCGCAGAAUGAGAAUGCUGAUAUGGAAAUGCCGUACAUGAAGAGCAAUGGGACAAUGGAGACCCCACAAUGACAACAACUAAAGAUGUCGGCCUACUCCCUACAGAUGACGACUCUGGAGAAUGUAUAAAGGAACAUGGCCGACACAAACAGUCAGAGCUGUUCUGAUGUGGCCUCGCCCUCGAUGUUCAGCAGGGUUUUCAUUCCUGAAGCGGGAAGUGUCAGCAGAGGUUCAAAUUCCACUGGAAGAAGGAUGAUACAUGACAAAUGCUGAAUUUGAGCCAUUAGACAUUAUUCAUGACCUUCAGGCUUGUAUUUUUCUUGUUUAAGGGGAGUAUGUUUCUGAUUCAUGCAUAAAAAAAGGUCAGGAACUGCAAAGUGCACUUUAAAAAAAAUGUAUUCUCCACAAUUAAAUUAAUUAUUUUAAAGUCCAGGGUUUUAUUCUGCCAUUAAAGUACAAAAAAACCAACUUCAUCUUUUCUUUAAAAGAAAAGAAAUGUGGACUUGGAAUCAAUUCAGACUUAGAUCGCAAUUUUAAUAAUUUUAAUCUCAGCAAUGAAAUCACAAAAGACUUGAUGCUCAAAUUAGACUUUAAUACCAUUGACUCCAUUGACUCAUAUAUUCUUCCAGGCUUAAGCCUUUUAAAUAUUUGAUUUCUUCCACCAAACGUAAAUGUGUCCCUUAAGCAUUCCUUCAGUUGACUAAAGAUUAUUUUACUGAUUUUCAGUCAGCUUACACUAACUUCCCAAAGUUCCUGGAAUUGACACAACAACCAGUGAAGUUGCAGAUAAAAAGCAUGAAGAAAUCCAACGAUGUUACCCAGUGCCAUAUGGAGAAAAUUGGCACCAUGGCAUGUCCUCAAAGUAUAAACCUUGAAAUAUUUUUUUUUUAAAUAAUUGAACUUGCUGAAUUGUAAAUAAAAUCAAAGCCUUAACCGUGAAACAUUCUUAAACUAACUUUUCAAUAAUAUAGUUUCCAGUUAAUUUUCUGCAAUUUAAUAAAACACCUCUUAGAAAAAAAAAUAGUUGAACUAACAAAGCUAUCUUGUGUUAUUAUGUUCCUACAUGAAAUCCAGUCAUUUAAUAAACACAUGACUUUUAUCAACCUAAACCUCUUUUUCUUAUUUUAGUUCAAUUAGAAUUACCAUUUCUGUUUCUUUCAAAAUAUCGGAAAGAAGCAAAAGUAAUAAUAUUUUGCCUUCUAAACUAUGUCAAACGUUUUAGAAAUCCUUCCUCCAGGAGGUUUGCUGGAAAUUUAGACAUUCCUUUUGACAGAGCUAAUAUAAGUGAUUCAGAUUUUCCAAUUAUAAAACAUUUUAUCUAUUAUAAAAUGUAUUGUAUUUAUAAUAACAACUAAAAACCUUCUCUCAUGUUUUUUUUUUAGAAUUUGGGCUUCUGUUACUUUUGUGGCUCAUUCCAGCAUAUAAAUAACAAAGUAGUUCUGCAUUAACAGUUUUUUGAAACUGUAAUUAAUCAUAUAUUUAGUCAAUUAUUUGUUUCAGACUAUAAAUUGGAUGGACUUAUGCCUCUAAUGGGGACUUAAGUGAAAAGACAUCAGUGUUACAAGAAACUUGUAGGAUAAAAUACUAUCUCAGUCCCACCCUAUAAAUAGAUUAUUAUUGUUUUCAAACUCAACUUUGACCUGUACUGCACUUAAAGGGAAAGGUCAGGAUGGUAUUCAGAGAUAUUUAAAAAACAAUUGCAGAAAACAUCAAUCUAAUAAAAAAAAAGAAUAUACUGUUAAUAUUUAUGUAAUCUAGAGCAAAUGAGCAGAAUUUAUUUCUGCAGACCAAGAAUGAAGGUGUCAAAUCUGACUUUAUGUCAAAAACAUUCAAAUUAAUAAAAGACAUGUUUUUUUUUAUGACUGACAUCUAGACAUAAUUAUAUUUUUACUUAAAACAAAGUGGUUUGGCAUAGAAGGUGCUCAGACCUCUUAGUAGUAUGGGGACAAAAUGUUUUCAUUUAUUCAGCUUAUUUAAAUCUAUCUUCCUACCUCCCACAAAAAAAAAACAAACAAAAAAAACCAAGAGAAAUACUGUAAAUACAUGCUAGAUAAAUUGAAAAAAUGUGCCUCAACCACCACAAUAAGUCCUUUGACUAUGACUAGCACAUUAAAUAAGGAUGUGGGGAAACCGCAUUUAUCUUAGAAAAUCUUAGCUUUCCUGAUUUCAAAUGGCUGAGAUUAUGUACUUUGCUGAGUCAUCUUGUGAACCUUACAGCUUUAUGUUGUUGUCGCACUGUAAUCCACAUGACUAAAUAAAGCAGUG
Molecule: long non-coding RNA, 2484 nt
Organism: Gambusia affinis (western mosquitofish)
Lineage: Eukaryota; Metazoa; Chordata; Actinopteri; Cyprinodontiformes; Poeciliidae
Exons: 3
Source: RefSeq, a predicted model, not a curated record